RNAcentral lists this small nucleolar RNA (138 nucleotides) under Pelusios castaneus (West African mud turtle). RNAcentral describes it as "Small nucleolar RNA SNORA64/SNORA10 family (ENSPCEG00000013138.1)". It matches the Rfam family "Small nucleolar RNA SNORA64/SNORA10 family". Rfam says of the family: This family belongs to the H/ACA class of small nucleolar RNAs (snoRNAs) which act as guides in the the modification of uridines to pseudouridines. This family includes the human snoRNAs U64 and ACA10 and mouse MBI-29. Lineage: Eukaryota; Metazoa; Chordata; Testudines; Pelomedusidae. The record is from Rfam by way of RNAcentral.
AUUCUCCCAGCUCUGCUCAGUUACACUUGGCUGAAGUAGUGUAAUUGUCGUAUUUGGUGAGAGAGAGAAACUGAGUUCAGGAUGCACGGCAGAGGGACCCUGUGAAAUGGUCUUCCUGUUCCUUUAAAAACUCUACAU